RNAcentral lists this long non-coding RNA (973 nucleotides) under Setaria viridis. Its description in RNAcentral is "long non-coding RNA (SVIR_LNC007310)". The record is from RNAcentral. Lineage: Eukaryota; Viridiplantae; Streptophyta; Magnoliopsida; Poales; Poaceae.
GUUGGGAGAGGGAGCAGAUAAUAGAUGCAUCUUCUCCAGUUGGAACACAAAGUAUGAACACUGCUCCUUCGUGUUUGGGCCCACCUGACAAAUGCGUAGAUGACAAAAACCUAGUUCGCUUAGUAAUAGAUUAGUCCCAAGUGUAAUUCCACGAUUGUUGACAUAGUGGAUCGAGGUUCUACAGCUAGGGCGCACUUGGUUCUCACUCCAUCAAGAUUGGGCCACCCCUAAGCGCAGAUCUAGUCAUAGCCAUGUGCAUAUUACUAAACUGCAAAUCCCUAAGGCUAACUCUAGCCAGUAACCCUAAUCCUUGCAUCACUAAAGAUGAGAAGGAAGUUCUACCUUUUUCCUAACAAGUGUGUAAACCAUCUUUUAGUAAGUGUGUGUGAGUAUCUUUUUCCUAACUUCCCACCCAAUAUCUCUCUCAAGUCACACCACCAGCCAAGCUGCUCUAAUAAUGAUGACAGUAAGUAAAACCCGCAUGCCCGCAAGUAGAAACCCUAAUGGUUGUGAGUUUGGGUGUCAUUUUUACCAUGAGUAUGGGUUUAGAUUUGAACCCAACAUGUAGUCACGAGCAUAAAAGAAAUGUAUGAACAUGUUCACUUCACCCAUGUACCGAAUCCAACCCAUAACAUUUGGAACGCACAUGCAAAUUCUAGGAUUUCACUUUCCUUCCCUCGUAGCCACACAUAGGUCUUAGGCACAGAGCUAUCACCUCAACUCCCCUCCCCCAAAUGCCUUGAGUAUCGAACCUCAUCCCAUCCAGGCCAUCUGAGCAACCUCAUCAUAGUUCUCCAUAGCCAUGCGUAUAUCGCUAACCUACAAUCCCUAUGGCUAACUAUAACCCAACCCUUGAAAAUAGCAAAAAAAAAGAGAGAGAUAGUUCGAUAAAUAAUUUUCCUAGAAAGUGUGUGAACCAUGUGUGUAACAUUUUCUUAUUAGUGUUGCUUUUCCUAACUCUGCACCCAUUAUC